RNAcentral lists this ribosomal RNA (274 nucleotides) under uncultured bacterium. Its description in RNAcentral is "partial 16S ribosomal RNA". It matches the Rfam family "Bacterial small subunit ribosomal RNA", at positions 523 to 796 of the family's 1533-position model. The record is from RNAcentral.
AUACGGAGGGUGCAAGCGUUACUCGGAAUCACUGGGCGUAAAGGGCGCGCAGGCGGUUUGGUAAGUCAGAUGUGAAAGCCCACGGCUCAACCGUGGAAGUGCAUUUGAAACUGUCAGACUUGAGUACUAGAGGGGAAAGUGGAAUUCCCGGUGUAGAGGUGAAAUUCGUAGAUAUCGGGAGGAAUACCGGUGGCGAAGGCGACUUUCUGGCUAGAUACUGAAGCUGAGGCGCGAAAGCGUGGGGAGCAAACAGGAUUAGAUACCCCGGUAGUCC